This 497-nucleotide ribosomal RNA is filed under the name uncultured bacterium. RNAcentral's name for it is "partial 16S ribosomal RNA". It matches the Rfam family "Bacterial small subunit ribosomal RNA", at positions 28 to 507 of the family's 1533-position model. The record is from RNAcentral.
GAUGAACGCUGGCGGCGUGCCUAAUACAUGCAAGUCGAGCGAACAGACGAGGAGCUUGCUCCUCUGACGUUAGCGGCGGACGGGUGAGUAACACGUGGAUAACCUACCUAUAAGACUGGGAUAACUUCGGGAAACCGGAGCUAAUACCGGAUAAUAUAUUGAACCGCAUGGUUCAAUAGUGAAAGACGGUUUUGCUGUCACUUAUAGAUGGAUCCGCGCCGCAUUAGCUAGUUGGUAAGGUAACGGCUUACCAAGGCAACGAUGCGUAGCCGACCUGAGAGGGUGAUCGGCCACACUGGAACUGAGACACGGUCCAGACUCCUACGGGAGGCAGCAGUAGGGAAUCUUCAGCAAUGGGCGAAAGCCUGACGGAGAAACGCCGCGUGAGUGAUGAAGGUCUUCGGAUAGUAAAACUCUGUUAUUAGGGAAGAACAAAUGUGUAAGUAAAUAUGCACGUCUUGACGGUACAUAAUCAGAAAGCCACGGCUAACUACGUG